This 402-nucleotide ribosomal RNA is filed under the name Acinetobacter lwoffii. RNAcentral describes it as "bacterial SSU rRNA". It matches the Rfam family "Bacterial small subunit ribosomal RNA", at positions 395 to 789 of the family's 1533-position model. Lineage: Bacteria; Pseudomonadati; Pseudomonadota; Gammaproteobacteria; Moraxellales; Moraxellaceae. The record is from RNAcentral.
UGCCGCGUGUGUGAGAAGGCCUUUUGGUUGUAAAGCACUUUAAGCGAGGAGGAGGCUACCGAGAUUAAUACUCUUGGAUAGUGGACGUUACUCGCAGAAUAAGCACCGGCUAACUCUGUGCCAGCAGCCGCGGUAAUACAGAGGGUGCAAGCGUUAAUCGGAUUUACUGGGCGUAAAGCGCGCGUAGGUGGCCAAUUAAGUCAAAUGUGAAAUCCCCGAGCUUAACUUGGGAAUUGCAUUCGAUACUGGUUGGCUAGAGUAUGGGAGAGGAUGGUAGAAUUCCAGGUGUAGCGGUGAAAUGCGUAGAGAUCUGGAGGAAUACCGAUGGCGAAGGCAGCCAUCUGGCCUAAUACUGACACUGAGGUGCGAAAGCAUGGGGAGCAAACAGGAUUAGAUACCCCC